AGCAGCCGCGGUAAUUCCAGCUCCAAUAGCGUAUAUUAAAGUUGUUGCAGUUAAAAAGCUCGUAGUUGAAUUUCGGGAUUGGCGCAUCGGUCGUGCCUCACGGGGUAUGAACUGGUGCAGUCAAUUUCUCACCUUCUGGAGAACCGCGAUGUCCUUAAUUGGAUGCCGUGGGGAACCAGGACCUUUACUUUGAAAAAUUAGAGUGUUUAAAGCAGGCAUUUUUGCUUGAAUACAUUAGCAUGGAAUAAUAAAAUAGGACGGCAUGGUUCUAUUUUGUUGGUUUCUAGGACCACCGUAAUGAUUAAUAGGGAUAGUUGGGGGCAUUAGUAUUCAAUUGUCAGAGGUGAAAUUCUUGGAUUUAUUGAAGACUAACUAC
RNAcentral lists this ribosomal RNA (376 nucleotides) under uncultured Entrophospora. RNAcentral describes it as "SSU rRNA". It matches the Rfam family "Eukaryotic small subunit ribosomal RNA", at positions 569 to 943 of the family's 1831-position model. Lineage: Eukaryota; Fungi; Glomeromycota; Glomeromycetes; Entrophosporales; Entrophosporaceae. The record is from RNAcentral.